This 256-nucleotide ribosomal RNA is filed under the name uncultured bacterium. RNAcentral describes it as "partial 16S ribosomal RNA". It matches the Rfam family "Bacterial small subunit ribosomal RNA", at positions 524 to 776 of the family's 1533-position model. The record is from RNAcentral.
UACAGGGGGUGCGAAACAGUUGCUCGGAAUCAUUGGGCGUAAAGCGCACGUAGGCGGUCUGUUAUGUCGGAUGUGAAAGCCCUUGGCUCAACUGAGGAAGUGCAUCCGAAACUGGCAGGCUAGAGUACUAAAGAGGAUCGCGGAAUUCCCGGUGUAGAGGUGAAAUUCGUAGAUAUCAGGAAGAACACCCGUGGCUAAGGCGGCUCUCUAGUACGUGACUGACGCUGAGACGCGGAAAGCGUGGGGAGCGAACAGG